ACCUGGCUGGUUCAGUCGGUAGAGCACAUGACUCUUGAUCUUGGGGUUAUGAUUUUAAGCCCCAUGUUGGGUG
This 73-nucleotide transfer RNA is filed under the name Felis catus (domestic cat). It matches the Rfam family "tRNA". Rfam says of the family: Transfer RNA (tRNA) molecules are approximately 80 nucleotides in length. The record is from Rfam by way of RNAcentral. Lineage: Eukaryota; Metazoa; Chordata; Mammalia; Carnivora; Felidae. RNAcentral also lists the same sequence under 1 other name.